CUUCACGGAACCCAGGAAGAGCGGCCGGUCCUCGGCACGCUCCUGGCCAUAAGUGGCGAGCAGCGCCUGCGCCUC
RNAcentral lists this antisense RNA (75 nucleotides) under Actinacidiphila glaucinigra. Its description in RNAcentral is "Streptomyces glauciniger ASpks TB sRNA". It matches the Rfam family "ASpks TB sRNA". The record is from Rfam by way of RNAcentral. Lineage: Bacteria; Bacillati; Actinomycetota; Actinomycetes; Kitasatosporales; Streptomycetaceae.